This 913-nucleotide ribosomal RNA is filed under the name uncultured marine archaeon. Its description in RNAcentral is "bacterial SSU rRNA". It matches the Rfam family "Archaeal small subunit ribosomal RNA", at positions 1 to 922 of the family's 1478-position model. The record is from RNAcentral.
UCCGGUUGAUCCCGCCGGACCUGACUGCUAUCGGAUUGAUACUAAGCCAUGCGAGUCUUUGUAGUAAUACAAGGCAGACGGCUCAGUAACGCGUAGUCAACCUACCCUAUGGACGGGAAUAAUCUCGGGAAACUGAGCAUAAUACCCGGCGUACCACCAUUCCUGGAAUGGUUGGUGGUUAAAAUGAUUCGUCGCCGUAGGAUGGGACUGCGACUUAUCAGCUUGUUGGUGAGGUAAAGGCCCACCAAGGCGAUUACAGGUACGGGCUCUGAGAGGAGAAGCCCGGAGAUGGGUACUGAGACACGGACCCAGGCCCUAUGGGGCGCAGCAGGCGAGAAAACUUUGCAAUGUGCGAAAGCACGACAAGGUUAAUCCGAGUGAUUUCUGCUAAAGGAAUCUUUUGCCAGUUCUAAAAAUACUAGUGAAUAAGGGGUGGGCAAGUUCUGGUGUCAGCCGCCGCGGUAAAACCAGCACCUCAAGUGGUCAGGAGGAUUAUUGGGCCUAAAGCAUCCGUAGCCUGCUCUGUAAGUUUUCGGUUAAAUCUAUAUGCUCAACGUAUAGGCUGCCGAAAAUACUGCAGUGCUAGGAAGUGGGAGAGGUAGACGGUACUUGAUAGGAAGGGGUAAAAUCCUUUGAUCUAUCGAUGACCACCUGUGGCGAAGGCGGUCUACCAGAACACGUUCGACGGUGAGGGAUGAAAGCUGGGGGAGCAAACCGGAUUAGAUACCCGGGUAGUCCCAGCUGUAAACGAUGCAGACUCGAUGAUGCAUUGGCAUAUAGCCAGUGCAGUGUCGCAGGGAAGCCGUUAAGUCUGCCGCCUGGGAAGUACGUACGCAAGUAUGAAACUUAAAGGAAUUGGCGGGGGAGCACCACAAGGGGUGAAGCCUGCGGUUUAAUUGGAUUCAACGCCGGA